AAAAAGCAUUUGAUAGGGUUGAGUGGGAGUAUUUGUUUGCAGUCUUGAGGAAGUUCAGAUUCGGGGAUAAAUUUACGAUAUUUAUUCGUAUUAUUUUGCUCUCGGACGUGGGUGUCGCCAAGGCUGUCCUUUAUCACCUCUGCUUUUUGCUGUCGCUAUCGAGCCUCUGUCUAUCGUAUUAAGAUCUUCUCCCUUGUUUAAAGGAAUAGUUCGAUACGGUGUAGAAUACAAAUUGUCGCUAUAUGCUGAUGAUUUGUUAUUGUAUGUAACCGAUCCUAUUGCCUCUAUGCCUGCUGUCUUGGGUGUUCUGGAGACCUUCGGUGUUUUCUCUGGUUAUAAAUUAAAUUUGGACAAAAGCGACUGUUUUCCCAUCAAUACUGCAGCAUUUCCUCUCCAACAGUCAGAUCUACCUUUUCGAUUUAGUCAGUCAGGGUUUAAAUACCUAGGUGUAGCCCAGGCUUAAUAAUGAGAAACACUAUUUAGCUGUCUAACCAAGUCACAAAAGGGUUAACUUUGAUUUUCUUGUUAUCUUUGAUGGAUUUGUAAGUGAGCAAAUGGGUGAACUCUAUGAGGCAGUGAACUGACCAAUCAGCUGCCAGCUAGGCUCUGUUACAGUUACACCUCUAGGUUAGUGUCUCUGCACGUUCUUUUGGCGCUUGCACCUGAGCGUAGGAGGCUGCGUUAUCCACUUGAGAGUAAAAGAGAGCUGUGCCUGAAUCCACUGUUGUCACGGAGCUAAAGGCAGUGAAUUCUGCUUAAAUGGUCAGGCUUUGGUAAAGAGUUGGAAACAUCGUGCGGAGAUCCUUUCCACGGAAUGAUACAGAUCCCCACGUUCCAGGCGCUCUUCCAGAGAUUCAUAGAUUCCCAGUCCGGGUGGCUGGGUGGCGAGCCAACCGCGUUUGUGACUCUGACUUUAGACGGAUUGCCAGGAUCAUCUUCUUCAUCUUAAUGGUGGUAGGACAAACACUAACACGAACUAAAAAGGGCCAACGUUGGUGACUGAACUCUUGUCAACAAAGGCAAGUGAAACUGAGGACGAACUAAACUCAAGGGAAUUUAAAAGGGGAUUUAUUACAUGCGCACUUUAUUAUUUUAGUUUGUUAUUUUUUUUUCAUAACCGUUUUGUAUAUAUGUAUGUACCAGCCCAUGUGUGUUUAAUACAUUUUAUGCAAAUUGUCA
Molecule: long non-coding RNA, 1179 nt
Organism: Ictalurus furcatus (blue catfish)
Lineage: Eukaryota; Metazoa; Chordata; Actinopteri; Siluriformes; Ictaluridae
Exons: 3
Source: RefSeq, a predicted model, not a curated record